This is a non-coding RNA of Musa acuminata subsp. malaccensis (wild Malaysian banana), 92 nucleotides long. The record is from Rfam. NCBI's taxonomy places the organism in Eukaryota, Viridiplantae, Streptophyta, Magnoliopsida, Zingiberales, Musaceae.
GCUGCAAUGGUGAUCAGUAAUAUGUAAGAAGAGCCUCUCAUGGGAUUGGUUGUUCAAUGAAAUAUUCUAGUUACGCUUGGCUUCUGAGCUAU